RNAcentral lists this ribosomal RNA (492 nucleotides) under uncultured bacterium. Its description in RNAcentral is "partial 16S ribosomal RNA". It matches the Rfam family "Bacterial small subunit ribosomal RNA", at positions 29 to 507 of the family's 1533-position model. The record is from RNAcentral.
AGUGAACGCUGGCGGUAGGCCUAACACAUGCAAGUCGAACGGCAGCACAGUAAGAGCUUGCUCUUACGGGUGGCGAGUGGCGGACGGGUGAGGAAUACAUCGGAAUCUACUUUUUCGUGGGGGAUAACGUAGGGAGACUUACGCUAAUACCGCAUACGACCUACGGGUGAAAGCAGGGGAUCUUCGGACCUUGCGCGAUUGAAUGAGCCGAUGUCGGAUUAGCUAGUUGGCGGGGUAAAGGCCCACCAAGGCGACGAUCCGUAGCUGGUCUGAGAGGAUGAUCAGCCACACUGGAACUGAGACACGGUCCAGACUCCUACGGGAGGCAGCAGUGGGGAAUCUUGGACAAUGGGCGCAAGCCUGAUCCAGCCAUACCGCGUGGGUGAAGAAGGCCUUCGGGUUGUAAAGCCCUUUUGUUGGGAAAGAAAAGCAGCAGGUUAAUACCCCGCUGUUCUGACGGUACCCAAAGAAUAAGCACCGGCUAACUUCGUG